ACUAUUCCUUCUGUUUGAACUCAGAAACCUUUCCAGGAGCACAAUCAUCUCGGCCAUUUUCAACAUUCAAGCUGUGAUUUGACACUAAAUUGCGACCUGAAUGUGAGGAAUAAAAGUCCUUUCAGAAGUGGCCUUCACAAGCUCUAUUUUCUCUCUCCGGUUUCUUGUUUUCACAGUGAUCUACCGAACCUGUUCACCCUGGACGUUUUUCCACUUGUAAAUUAUUUUUACGAGCAGUGGAGCAGCUGAUAUUUAAUUGUUCUGAGAUUUUUAUAAAGUCCUUCCCCUUUAUCUGCAUCUAUGUCCUUCUUUCUGAAGGCUUGAGAGAGCUCUUUAGAAUCACACCAUGGUGAUAUACCCACUUUGUACCCACUGAGUAAACGUUCCGGUGGGCUUUCCACAUAAAUGUGGAACGCAUGGGGUCCAGGUUUUUCUCAUUAGCUAACUAACUUAAAGAUUAAUUUGCAGAAAAAGGUAGAGUGAGGCAGAAAAACCUAAAGGUAGGCGGAGCGAGGUUAAGCAAGGCAUAGGGUAGAAUGAGGUAAAGUAAGAGCGAAGUAGAAAGAGGAAAAAUGAGAGCGAAGUAGAAUGAGGAAAAGUGAGAGUGAAGUAGAACGAGGUAGUAUGAGGUGAAGUGAGAGUGAAGUCGAAUGAGGUUAAGUGAGAGUAAAGUAGAAUGAGGUAGAAUUAGGUAAAGUGAGCGAGAAGAAGAAUGAGGUAAAGUGAGAGUAAAGUAGAACGAGGUAGAAUGAGGAAAAGUGAGAGUGAAGUCGAAUGAGGUAAAGUGAGCGUAAAGUAGAAUGAGGAAAAGUGAGAGCGAAGUAAAAUGAGGUAAAGUGAGAGUAAAGUAGAACGAGGUAGAAUGAGGAAAAGUGAGAGUGAAGUCGAAUGAGGUAAAGUGAGAGUAAAGUAGAAUGAGGUAAAGUGAGAGUAAAGUAGAAUGAGGAAAAGUGAGAGUGAAGUAAAAUGAGGUAAAGUGAGAGUAAAGUAGAACGAGGUAGAAUGAGGAAAAGUGAGAGUGAAGUCGAAUGAGGUAAAGUGAGAGUAAAGUAGAAUGAGGUAGAAUGAGGAAAAGUAAGAGCGAAGUCGAAUGAGGUAAAGUGAGAGUAAAGUAGAAUGAGGUAGAAUGAGGAAAAGUAAGAGCGAAGUCGAAUGAGGUAAAGUGAGAGUAAAGUAGAAUGAGGUAGAAUGAGCAAAAGUGAGAGUGAAGUCGAAUGAGGUAAAGUUAGAGCGAAGUAGAACGAGGAACAGGUAAGAGCAAAGUAGAACAAAAAAAUGGGGCAGGAAGAGGUAGAGCAAGGAAGAAAUAAGCAGAAUGAGGUUGAAUGAGACAGGAAAGUAGUAAGGCAGAGCUACAUAGAAUGAGGCAAAACAAGGUGGAGUGAUACAGAACGAGGCAGGAAGAGGUAGAGUGAGGUAGAAGCAGACAGAAUGAGGUAGAGCAAGAGAAAGCAUAGUAGAUUGAGGCAGAAUGAGACAGCAAAGUAGUGAGACAGAUUGAAAUAGAACGAGGCAAAACAAGGUGGAGUGAUGUAGAAAGAGGUAGAGUGAGGCAAAACGAGGCAGAAAGGGGUAGAGCGAGGAAGAACCAGGCAGAAUGAGGUAGAGCAAGGGAAAACAAAGUAGAUUGAGGCAGAAUGAGACAGGAAAGUAGUGAGACAGAUUGAAAUAGAAUGAUGCAAAACAAUGUGGAGUGAUUCAGAACGAGGUAGGAAGAGAUAGUGUGAGGAAGAACAAGGCAGAAAGAGGUAGAGUGAGGCAGAAUGAGGCAGGAAGAGGUAGAGUGGGAAAGAACCAGGCAGAAUGAGGUAGAGCAAGGAAAAACAAAGUAGAUUGAGGCAGAAUGAGACUUUAAAGCAGUGAGACAGAUUGAAAUAGAACAAGGCAAAACCAGGUGGAGUGAGAAAGAAUGAGGCAGGAAGAGGUGGAGUGAGAAAGAACCAGGCAGAAUGAGGUAGAGCAAGCGAAAGCGAAGUAGAUUAAGACAGAAUGAGACAGGAAAGAAGUGAGACAGAAUGAGAAAGAACCAGGCAGAAUGAGGUGAAGUGAGGCAGAACAAAGCUGAAAGAGGUAGAGUGAGGACGAAACGAGCAGAAUUAGGUAUAGAGCAAGUAAAAGCAAAGUAGAUUGAGGCAGAAUGAGACAGCAAAUUUGUGCGAGAGGGCGAGAUAUAAAGAGGUAAAACAAGGUAGAGUGAGGUAGCGCGAGGCAGAGCACAAUAGAACAAGAUAAAACAAGGUACAUUGAGGCAGAACGAUAGAGGCACAUUAGGUCAGACUGAUUUAAGUGAGCCAGAAUGAGGUAGGUAGAAAGCAGUAGAACCAGACAGAAUGUGGUGGAGUGUGGAAAAGUGAGACGGGUAGAAUGAGGCAGAGCAAGGUAGAAGGAGGUAAAGUGAGGCAGAGCGAGGUAGAGAUCUAUAGUAAAUGCACACACCAAACCAAUUUUUGACACACGCCUCCCAACGUUCUGUGCUGAAAUUAAGGCUCAACAUAGGGGUGCAAUUUUCAUAACGCUCUGUCAAGUUUUAAUAAAGGUUCUCUUUAUUGCACCUUUUAAACGCUGGUGUGGGCGCUGCUGAGACUGCCUCCGAGAGAGGAUGGCACCUCUUCCUCUCUCUCGCUCUCUCUCUCUCUCACUCUUUCUCUCACUCUCUCUCUCUUUCUCUUUAUUUUCUUUCUCUCAGAGAGCCGAGCAGCUUGUGUGUGGGAGGCUUGCUUUAGCAGUGGAAUUGCUGCCACCACUGUGAUAAAUUGAAAUUUUCUCCUGCCGGCUGGUAGCAGCUGUGGCCUUGAGCAGGCCUGCGUAGAGGGAGCGCUGCCAGGAUGGCGCUCAGCCUCGCAGGCAGGCGGAACACAGCAGUGGGAGCAGAGCGCUGCUGGAACCUGCCACACCCUGUCAGCUUUUGAGCUGACAUUAGCCAAGGGGUGUAUUAUGGGCACAGGGAUAGGAUACUUUGUCUGAAAGUGCUGCUAACAAAUGCUGAUAAAAGCGGCACGGACGGCACAGAGUGAAUGAAGGCUUGUGGCGAGCAGCUUUGUGAGUCUCGCAAGGCAGGUUUCAGACUGUCGCUGUAGAGUCUGGUGGGAUUUGGAGCCCAUCGUGGCUCAGAACCACCUGCUUUAAAUUCUGCUAGAAUCCUAAAAUUGUCCCUAGUCAUACACUCAUCUAAAAAAAAAAAAAAACAGCCAGAAGGAAUCAACUGACAGGAAUAAAACUGGUGGGGAUGUUAAGUGAGACAGAAGAAGACACUGUAGUUGAAUGAGGUGGAGUGAGGCAGAAUGAGACAGCAUAGUUUAUUGAGGUGGAGUGAGGCAGAAUGAGACUAGUUGAAUGAUGUGGAGUGAGGCAGAAUGAGAUAGCAUAGUUUAUUGAGGUAGAGUGAGGCAGAACAAGACACCGUAGUUGAAUGAGGUCUAGUAAGGCAGAAGAAGACAGUGUAGUGGAAUGAGGUAGAGUGAGGCAGAAUGAGAAAGUGUAGUGGAAUAGGGUGCAGUAAGGCAAAAGAAGACAGUGUAGUGGAAUAGGGUGGAGUAAGGCAAAAGAAAACAGUGUAGAGGAAUGAGGUGGAGUAAGGCAAAGGAAGACAGUGUAGUGGAAUGAGGUAGAGUGAGGCAGAAUGAAAAAGUGUAGUGGAAUAGGGUGGAGUAAGGCAAAAGAAGACAGUGUAGUGGAAUGGGGUGGAGUAAGGCAAAAGAAGACAGUGUAGUGAAAUGAGGUGGAGUAAGGAAAAAGAAGACAGUGUAGUGGAAUUGGGUGGAGUAAGGCAAAAGAAGACAGUGUAGUGGAAUGGGGUGGAGUAAGGCAAAAGAAGACAGUGUAGUAGAUUGAGGUGGAGUAAGGCAAAAGAAGACAGUGAAGUGGAAUGAUGUGGAGUAAGGCAAAAGAAGACAGUGUAGUGG
Molecule: long non-coding RNA, 3902 nt
Organism: Astyanax mexicanus (Mexican tetra)
Lineage: Eukaryota; Metazoa; Chordata; Actinopteri; Characiformes; Acestrorhamphidae
Exons: 3
Source: RefSeq, a predicted model, not a curated record